This 492-nucleotide ribosomal RNA is filed under the name uncultured bacterium. Its description in RNAcentral is "partial 16S ribosomal RNA". It matches the Rfam family "Bacterial small subunit ribosomal RNA", at positions 29 to 507 of the family's 1533-position model. The record is from RNAcentral.
AGUGAACGCUGGCGGUAGGCCUAACACAUGCGAGUCGAACGGCAGCACAGUAAGAGCUUGCUCUUACGGGUGGCGAGUGGCGGACGGGUGAGGAAUACAUCGGAAUCUACUUUUUCGUGGGGGAUAACGUAGGGAAACUUACGCUAAUACCGCAUACGACCUACGGGUGAAAGCAGGGGAUCUUCGGACCUUGCGCGAUUGAAUGAGCCGAUGUCGGAUUAGCUAGUUGGCGGGGUAAAGGCCCACCAAGGCGACGGUCCGUAGCUGGUCUGAGAGGAUGAUCAGCCACACUGGAACUGAGACACGGUCCAGACUCCUACGGGAGGCAGCAGUGGGGAAUAUUGGACAAUGGGCGCAAGCCUGAUCCAGCCAUACCGCGUGGGUGAAGAAGGCCUUCGGGUUGUAAAGCCCUUUUGUUGGGAAAGAAAAGCAGCAGGUUAAUACCCCGCUGUUCUGACGGUACCCAAAGAAUAAGCACCGGCUAACUUCGUG